Molecule: ribosomal RNA, 2319 nt
Filed under: Forficula sp. BYU_ACDM005
Lineage: Eukaryota; Metazoa; Arthropoda; Insecta; Dermaptera; Forficulidae
Description: eukaryotic LSU rRNA
Rfam family: Eukaryotic large subunit ribosomal RNA
Source: RNAcentral
GCGAACAGGGAAUAUGCUCAGCAUACAAAUGCUUGUAACUUAACCGGUGUCAUCUUGAGAUGUUAUGUUUAGUGAAGUUUCGUUUAUCCUAUAAUGUACAUUUAGUCCAAGUCCACCUUGAAUGGGGCAUUAUCCAUAGAGGGUGCCAGCCCCGUAGUGACAAAUGUAGAUAAAUCAUUAUAGGUGAAACUUUCCUUAGAGUCGGGUUGCUUGUAAAUGCAGCUCUAAGUUGGUGGUAAACUCCAUCUAAAGCUAAAUAUAACCACGAGACCGAUAGCGAACAAGUACCAUGAGGGAAAGUUGAAAAGAACUUUGAAGAGAGAGUUCAAUAGUACGUGAAACUGUUUAGGGGUAAACGGGAGAAAUCCGAAAAUCUGAAGGAAGUGAUUCACGUAUUAUCUACAUAUUAUAUUAUACUUGAUUGAUGAUUAUUAUACUCCUUGCAUUCAAUUUAUUGUAUGUUAAGGGUUCCGUUUAAUAUCACAUUUCUUGUAUAAAUCAAUAUUAUGUGGUUUACCGCAUUUCAAACCUUCCUUAAAACAGAAAACGUCGCAACCCAUUGGAUUCCAGUCUAAGAUAUUAUAGGGAGUCUCAUAUGAAACUUGCAUUUUUUAUGUAUAGUUGUUUUAUGUAGACCUAUAAAUUUUCUGACUGAUUAUUCGAUGGUAUCAAAAUAAAUAAGAUUAACCCUCGCAUGACGAGUUUGAGUAUAUUUAGAAAAUAAUUUGUAUUCCAUUUGUGAUAUUUUUAGUUCGGUCCAAAAGGCCCGUCUAGAGAAUAGCAUUGGAUAUGAAUAUAUUCUCAAACAGUGGUAAUCUUUGUUUGCGGCGAAUAUGUUUCGGAAUUUCGCCCGACCCGUCUUGAAACACGGACCAAGGAGUCUAACAUGUACGCAAGUCAUUGGGUUUUAAAACCUAAAGGCAUAAUGAAAGUAAAGAAUUGUUUUUAACAAUUUGUGGGAUGAUAGAUUAUCUUUACAUUUUAUGUUUGAUAAUCUCGCAAUCCUGGGGCGUCUCAUUCUUAUUGCAAGAAGAGGCGCACCUUGAGCGUAUACGUUGGGACCCGAAAGAUGGUGAACUAUGCCUGGCGAGGACAAAGUCAGGGGAAACCCUGAUGGAGGUCCGUAGCGAUUCUGACGUGCAAAUCGAUCGUCGGAGCUGGGUAUAGGGGCGAAAGACUAAUCGAACCAUCUAGUAGCUGGUUCCCUCCGAAGUUUCCCUCAGGAUAGCUGGCAUUCAUUGAAAAAUUAUUAAGAGUCUCAUGCGGUAAAGCGAAUGAUUAGAGGCCUUGGGGCCGAAACGACCUCAACCUAUUCUCAAACUUUAAAUGGGUGAGAUCUCAAGCUUGCUUAAAUGAAGCUGUGAGAUAAAUAUAUAUUAUUUAAUUUUCAUUCAUUAAAAAAAUUUAUUGACAAAAAAAUAAAAUGAUGAAAUUAUAUAUAUAAUAAGGAUCAGAGUGCCAAGUGGGCCAAUUUUGGUAAGCAGAACUGGCGCUGUGGGAUGAACCAAACGUAAUGUUACGGUGCCCAAAUUAACAACUCAUGCAGAUACCAUGAAAGGCGUUGGUUGCUUAAAACAGCAGGACGGUGGACAUGGAAGUCGUAAUCCGCUAAGGAGUGUGUAACAACUCACCUGCCGAAGCAACUAGCCCUUAAAAUGGAUGGCGCUUAAGUUGUAUACCUAUACAUUACCGCUAAAGUAAAUGGUUUAUGUUCAAUUUCGAUUGAAUUAUAAGCUUUGAAACUUUAGUGAGUAGGAGGGUACAAUGGUUAGCAUAGAAGUGUUUGGCGUAAGCCUGCAUGGAGCUGCCAUUGGUACAGAUCUUGGUGGUAGUAGCAAAUAAUCGAAUGAGACCUUGGAGGACUGAAGUGGAGAAGGGUUUCGUGUGAACAGUGGUUGAUCACGAGUUAGUCGGUCCUAAGUUCAAGGCGAAAGUCGAAAAUUUUCAAGUUUUAUUAAUAAUAAUAAUAUAAGAAGCACUUGAAUAAUUUUGAACGAAAGGGAAUACGGUUCCAAUUCCGUAACCUGUUGAGUAUCCGUUUGUUAUUAAAUAUGGGCCUUGUGCUCAUCCUGGCAACAGGAACAACCAUAAAGAAGCCGUCGAGAGGUAUCGGAAGAGUUUUCUUUUCUGUUUUAUAGUCGUACUACCAUGGAAGUCUUUCGAAGAGAGAUAUGGUAGAUGGACUAGAAGAGCAUGACAUUUACUGUUGUGUCGAUAUUUUCUCCUCGGACCUUGAAAAUUUAUGGUGGGGUCACGCAAACUUCUCAACAGGCCGUACCAAUAUCCGCAGCUGGUCUCCAAGGUGAAGAGUCUCUAGUC